GUCUGGGGCUCAGUGGUAGACGCUUGCCUGGCAUGUGUGAGGCACUGGGUUCAAUCCCCAGCACCGCACA
This 70-nucleotide transfer RNA is filed under the name Marmota monax (woodchuck). RNAcentral's name for it is "tRNA.Ala". Lineage: Eukaryota; Metazoa; Chordata; Mammalia; Rodentia; Sciuridae. The record is from RNAcentral.